Molecule: ribosomal RNA, 442 nt
Filed under: uncultured bacterium
Lineage: Bacteria
Description: partial 16S ribosomal RNA
Rfam family: Bacterial small subunit ribosomal RNA
Source: RNAcentral
CCUACGGGAGGCAGCAGUAGGGAAUUUUCGGCAAUGGGGGGAACCCUGACCGAGCAACGCCGCGUGAAGGAAGAAGGCUUUCGGGUUGUAAACUUCUUUUGUCAGGGAAGAGUAGAAGACGGUACCUGACGAAUAAGCCACGGCUAACUACGUGCCAGCAGCCGCGGUAAUACGUAGGUGGCAAGCGUUGUCCGGAUUUACUGGGUGUAAAGGGCGUGUAGCCGGGUUGACAAGUCAGAUGUGAAAUCCUGCGGCUUAACCGCAGAACUGCAUUUGAAACUGUUGAUCUUGAGUACUGGAGAGGCAGACGGAAUUCCUAGUGUAGCGGUGAAAUGCGUAGAUAUUAGGAGGAACACUCGUGGCGAAGGCGGGUUCCUGGACAUUAACUGACGCUGAGGCACGAAGGCCAGGGGAGCGAAAGGGAUUAGAUACCCCAGUAGUC